RNAcentral lists this ribosomal RNA (229 nucleotides) under uncultured bacterium. Its description in RNAcentral is "partial 16S ribosomal RNA". It matches the Rfam family "Bacterial small subunit ribosomal RNA", at positions 91 to 334 of the family's 1533-position model. The record is from RNAcentral.
UAAAGUGGCGUACGAGUGAGUAACACGUGGAUCAUCUACCCUUGAGUGGGGAAUAACGCUGGGAAACCGGCGCUAAUACCGCAUAAUCCCGAGAGGGCAAAGGAGCAAUUCGCUUCAGGAGGAGUCCGCGGCCGAUUAGCUAGUUGGCAGGGUAAAAGCCUACCAAGGCAACGAUCGGUAGCCGGCCUGAGAGGGCACACGGCCACACUGGCACUGAAACACGGGCCAG